CCCCCCCAACUUCUGCUGUCUUUUUUCAGUUGGGAUCAAGCUGGGAUUCAGAAUAGAUAAUCAGUGCUUGAUUGAAAGAUGUUGUCAAAGGGGAAAAGAAGUCUGGGAUGAUUCGAGGUUUCGAGGUCUUUCAGAGGAAAGAAAAAGCACAGGUCUUGCUAAAUCCACUGGAUAAGAAAACCAGGAUGAAAAAGGAUAAAAUUUCUUGUUCCAGGUUGCAGAGUCAAUAAAUGUAAUAGCUAGGAAUCAGAACAGACUCUGAAGUCCAGUGUUCUUUCUACUGAACUAUAGAUAUAUGAAUUGGUCAAAUAUUGUCAUAAUAUUUUAGCAUCUUUAUGCUACAUAUACAUUCCCUUUAUUCUCCAAAUUAAUUGCAUAUUUAGAAAAAUAUGUUGCAUUUGGUUAUUAGAUAAAAGGCAAAGAAAAAAUAAUUUUAAAACAUGUCUUCAUGAAAAUAAAAGGAUGAAAUCACUGCUCCCGGAAGAAAAAUUGGAUUGAGUAAAUAAAACUGAGUGAUUUUUAAAAUAUUUUCUGUCAUGUGUUUAGAAACAGAUGGAUUAUUUUUUACUUGGCAUUAGACCUACAACUGAUGAUUUGUGGUACCUUCAUAUAGGCAUAUAGGCAUUUGUUUAAAAUAGACAAAGUAUUGAUCAAUCUAAUUUUAAAAAAAAGGAAAGAAGAAAACCAAAUCGACAGUAUCCAAGAUGAAAAGGGAGACCUCACCUUUAAUGAAGAGGAAAUCAAGGCAAUCAUUAAAAACUAUUUUGCCCAAUUAUAUGGCAUAUAGGUAUUUGUUCAUGGUAUUGCUUGGACACUGGGAAUUGAGAGAUAAAGGAGCAUAUGU
Monodelphis domestica (gray short-tailed opossum) is the source of this 844-nucleotide long non-coding RNA. RefSeq lists it as uncharacterized. The record is from RefSeq and is a predicted model, not a curated record. NCBI's taxonomy places the organism in Eukaryota, Metazoa, Chordata, Mammalia, Didelphimorphia, Didelphidae.